AGUUAUAAAGUUGUUUAAUAUAAGUUUGUCAGAUUUAAGAAGAAAAUUAUUCCUC
Molecule: transfer RNA, 55 nt
Filed under: Harpactocrates apennicola
Lineage: Eukaryota; Metazoa; Arthropoda; Arachnida; Araneae; Dysderidae
Description: tRNA-Asp
Source: RNAcentral